ACGGUAAAAAUUGUUAAUAUUAUUAUAUUGUUAAUAUUAUUAUUAUUGUUAUUAUUAUAAGUUUUCUCUUUUAUCUAGCUUUUUUCCAGUGCAGCAUCACUAGAGAGCCGGUGUGCUUGAAGGAAAGUGCCAGAAAUUCAGCCCUGAUACAUCAGCCAGCAGAUGCCUGUGUCAGCCAGCAUCACAGUUCUUCUUGUGUAUGGUUGACCUAAGAUGCAGAGAUGGAAUAUGCAACUCAGGCGCACCCCAGUACCAGACACAAGACUCAUGCAGAAAAACAGCCAGCUGCUUCAGAUGGCACAGAAGUUGAGCACAUGGUGCCGACUUUACAAGGCUCUUGCUGUUAAGUUCUGGUGGCCACAGCAGAGGAGAAUGUGUGCUGUGAAGAAUUAUGCACCCAUAUUUUUUGCUACUCUAGAUAGUCAAACCGCAAAAGGUAAGAAUGUCACCAUUACAAUUUUUUUUGAUGAUAUAUUAUCCCACACUGUAAGCCCGGAUUUUAUUUCUAAUUAAAAAUGUAUAUUCAAUGUACAUAAAUUAUUAAGUUAGUCCAUUACUGUCAAAUGUAAGUAUAUUGUACUCAUUUCAGCACGUGUUUAAACGUGUUAAUAGUUUUUAGUUUAAUAAACUAAACAUUUUAAGUUUUUGAACUGAUUGACUUAACUUUUUAAGUUAUUUAACAGAAAAAAAACUUUUUUUUUGCAUUUAAGCCCGCCCUUUUCCCAGCUUGCUGUUGGUGAGGCAGACUUAUUUUUUUCGUGUUUAAGUAGCCA
Molecule: long non-coding RNA, 773 nt
Organism: Astyanax mexicanus (Mexican tetra)
Lineage: Eukaryota; Metazoa; Chordata; Actinopteri; Characiformes; Acestrorhamphidae
Exons: 3
Source: RefSeq, a predicted model, not a curated record